GGUGAACGCUGGCGGCGGGCCUAACACAUGCAAGUCGAGCGGAAGCACAGUAAGAGCUUUCCCUUACUGUUAGCGAGGGGCGGGCGGGUAAGGCAUGCAUCACAUUCUACUAAUUCGGGGAGAAUAACGGAGGGAAACUUACGCUAAUACCGCAUACGACCUACGGGUGAAAUCAGGAGAUCAUCGCACUCUGGCCGUUUCUAAGAGCCGAAGCCGGAUUAGCUAGUUGGCGUGGUAAAGGCCCACCAAGGCGACGAUCCGUAGCUGGUCUGAGAGGAUGAUCAGCCACACUGGAACUGAGACACGGUCCAGACUCCUACGGGAGGCAGCAGUGGGGAAUCUUGGGCAAUGGGCGCAAGCCUGAUGCAGCAAUACCGCGUGAGUGAAGAAGGCCUUCGGGUUGUAAAGCCCUUUUGUUAGGAAAGAAAAGCUGCGUGAUUAUCUCCCGCUAUUCUGACGGUACCCAAAGAAUAAGCCCCGGCUAACUUCGUG
RNAcentral lists this ribosomal RNA (492 nucleotides) under uncultured bacterium. RNAcentral's name for it is "partial 16S ribosomal RNA". It matches the Rfam family "Bacterial small subunit ribosomal RNA", at positions 28 to 507 of the family's 1533-position model. The record is from RNAcentral.